UUCCUGUGCUGGGACAGCAGCAGCACAAACCCAGAAAUUCUUUCCUCCCUCUGUUGAACUCACCUCACAGUGUAGAGCUCUGAUAUUGAAGAAUAAGAUGUUUUCUGUCCAGUGGAAGAAUUCAAACAUGUCGUUCUUCAGCCUUCUGAAGGUGCUCGUGGCUUCAACAUGGCUAGGAUCCAGUAUCGCCCAGAAAGUAACUCAAGUCCAACCGGCAACGUUAGUGCAGGAGAAGGAGGUUGUGACCCUCAACUGCAGAUAUGACACGAGUGUCACAACUUAUAGUCUAUUCUGGUACAAGCAGUCCAGCAGUGGAGCAAUGAUGUUUCUUAUUCGUCAGGAUUCUUAUAACCAGCAAAAUGCCACAGAAGGUCGCUACUCACUGAAUUUUCAGAAGGCAAACAAAUCCAUCAACCUUGUCAUCUCACCUUCACAGCUGGAUGACUCCGCAGUGUAUUUCUGUGCACUGAGUGAGCCCACAGUGAGAGAUGUGCUAGAGGGAGGUGUGCAAAAACCCCAGGGCUCUGCUUGAUACAUGCACCUGCUGUAGGGACCAGGGUGUGGAAUUGUCAUCACGGGAAGUGGCUAGGGCUGU
Equus caballus (horse) is the source of this 595-nucleotide non-coding RNA. The record is from the annotation of a RefSeq genome assembly. Lineage: Eukaryota; Metazoa; Chordata; Mammalia; Perissodactyla; Equidae.